AUUCCAGCUCCAAUAGCGUAUAUUAAAGUUGUUGCAGUUAAAACGCUCGUAGUCGGAUUUCGGGGCGGGCCGACCGGUCUGCCGAUGGGUAUGCACUGGCCGGCGCGUCCUUCCACCCGGAGACCGCGCCUACUCUUAACUGAGCGGGCGCGGGAGACGGGUCUUUUACUUUGAAAAAAUCAGAGUGUUUCAAGCAGGCAGUCGCUCUUGCAUGGAUUAGCAUGGGAUAAUGAAAUAGGACUCUGGCGCUAUUUUGUUGGUUUCGAACACCGGAGUAAUGAUUAACAGGGACAGUUGGGGGUAUUCAUAUUUACAUGUCAGAGGUGAAAUUCUUGGAUUUUGGAAAGAUGAACUACUGCGAAGGCAUUUACCAAGGAUGUUUUCAUUA
Molecule: ribosomal RNA, 388 nt
Filed under: Gephyrocapsa cf. muellerae
Lineage: Eukaryota; Haptophyta; Isochrysidales; Noelaerhabdaceae
Description: partial small subunit ribosomal RNA
Rfam family: Eukaryotic small subunit ribosomal RNA
Source: RNAcentral